Molecule: ribosomal RNA, 269 nt
Filed under: uncultured prokaryote
Description: partial 16S ribosomal RNA
Rfam family: Bacterial small subunit ribosomal RNA
Source: RNAcentral
UACGGAGGAUGCGAGCGUUAUCCGGAUUUAUUGGGUUUAAAGGGUGCGUAGGCGGAUUGAUAAGUCAGUGGUAAAAUUCUACAGCUUAACUGUAGACUUGCCGUUGAUACUGUUAGUCUUGAGUUUGGUUAAGGUAGGCGGAAUGUGUAAUGUAGCGGUGAAAUGCUUAGAUAUUACACAGAACACCAAUUGCGUAGGCAGCUUACUGAGCCGACACUGACGCUGAGGCACGAAAGCGUGGGGAUCAAACAGGAUUAGAUACCCCCGUA